Molecule: ribosomal RNA, 2925 nt
Filed under: Salmonella enterica
Lineage: Bacteria; Pseudomonadati; Pseudomonadota; Gammaproteobacteria; Enterobacterales; Enterobacteriaceae
Also listed under: 163 other names
Description: bacterial LSU rRNA
Rfam family: Bacterial large subunit ribosomal RNA
Source: RNAcentral
GGGUUGUGAGGUUAAGCGACUAAGCGUACACGGUGGAUGCCCUGGCAGUCAGAGGCGAUGAAGGGCGUGCUAAUCUGCGAUAAGCGCCGGUAAGGUGAUAUGAACCGUUAUAACCGGCGAUACCCGAAUGGGGAAACCCAGUGUGACUCGUCACACUAUCAUUAACUGAAUCCAUAGGUUAAUGAGGCGAACCGGGGGAACUGAAACAUCUAAGUACCCCGAGGAAAAGAAAUCAACCGAGAUUCCCCCAGUAGCGGCGAGCGAACGGGGAGGAGCCCAGAGCCUGAAUCAGCAUGUGUGUUAGUGGAAGCGUCUGGAAAGGCGCGCGAUACAGGGUGACAGCCCCGUACACAAAAGCGCAUGUGCUGUGAGCUCGAUGAGUAGGGCGGGACACGUGGUAUCCUGUCUGAAUAUGGGGGGACCAUCCUCCAAGGCUAAAUACUCCUGACUGACCGAUAGUGAACCAGUACCGUGAGGGAAAGGCGAAAAGAACCCCGGCGAGGGGAGUGAAAAAGAACCUGAAACCGUGUACGUACAAGCAGUGGGAGCACCCUUUGGGUGUGACUGCGUACCUUUUGUAUAAUGGGUCAGCGACUUAUAUUCUGUAGCAAGGUUAACCGAAUAGGGGAGCCGGAGGGAAACCGAGUCUUAACCGGGCGUUAAGUUGCAGGGUAUAGACCCGAAACCCGGUGAUCUAGCCAUGGGCAGGUUGAAGGUUGGGUAACACUAACUGGAGGACCGAACCGACUAAUGUUGAAAAAUUAGCGGAUGACCUGUGGCUGGGGGUGAAAGGCCAAUCAAACCGGGAGAUAGCUGGUUCUCCCCGAAAGCUAUUUAGGUAGCGCCUCGUGAAUUCAUCUCCGGGGGUAGAGCACUGUUUCGGCUAGGGGGCCAUCCCGGCUUACCAACCCGAUGCAAACUGCGAAUACCGGAGAAUGUUAUCACGGGAGACACACGGCGGGUGCUAACGUCCGUCGUGAAGAGGGAAACAACCCAGACCGCCAGCUAAGGUCCCAAAGUCAUGGUUAAGUGGGAAACGAUGUGGGAAGGCCCAGACAGCCAGGAUGUUGGCUUAGAAGCAGCCAUCAUUUAAAGAAAGCGUAAUAGCUCACUGGUCGAGUCGGCCUGCGCGGAAGAUGUAACGGGGCUAAACCAUGCACCGAAGCUGCGGCAGCGACACUGUGUGUUGUUGGGUAGGGGAGCGUUCUGUAAGCCUGCGAAGGUGGCCUGUGAGGGUUGCUGGAGGUAUCAGAAGUGCGAAUGCUGACAUAAGUAACGAUAAAGCGGGUGAAAAGCCCGCUCGCCGGAAGACCAAGGGUUCCUGUCCAACGUUAAUCGGGGCAGGGUGAGUCGACCCCUAAGGCGAGGCCGAAAGGCGUAGUCGAUGGGAAACGGGUUAAUAUUCCCGUACUUGGUGUUACUGCGAAGGGGGGACGGAGAAGGCUAUGUUGGCCGGGCGACGGUUGUCCCGGUUUAAGCGUGUAGGUGUGUGUUCCAGGUAAAUCCGGUUCACUUUAACACUGAGGCGUGACGACGAGGCACUACGGUGCUGAAGCAACAAAUGCCCUGCUUCCAGGAAAAGCCUCUAAGCAUCAGGUAACAUCAAAUCGUACCCCAAACCGACACAGGUGGUCAGGUAGAGAAUACCAAGGCGCUUGAGAGAACUCGGGUGAAGGAACUAGGCAAAAUGGUGCCGUAACUUCGGGAGAAGGCACGCUGACACGUAGGUGAAGUGAUUUACUCAUGGAGCUGAAGUCAGUCGAAGAUACCAGCUGGCUGCAACUGUUUAUUAAAAACACAGCACUGUGCAAACACGAAAGUGGACGUAUACGGUGUGACGCCUGCCCGGUGCCGGAAGGUUAAUUGAUGGGGUCAGCGCAAGCGAAGCUCCUGAUCGAAGCCCCGGUAAACGGCGGCCGUAACUAUAACGGUCCUAAGGUAGCGAAAUUCCUUGUCGGGUAAGUUCCGACCUGCACGAAUGGCGUAAUGAUGGCCAGGCUGUCUCCACCCGAGACUCAGUGAAAUUGAACUCGCUGUGAAGAUGCAGUGUACCCGCGGCAAGACGGAAAGACCCCGUGAACCUUUACUAUAGCUUGACACUGAACAUUGAGCCUUGAUGUGUAGGAUAGGUGGGAGGCUUUGAAGUGUGGACGCCAGUCUGCAUGGAGCCGACCUUGAAAUACCACCCUUUAAUGUUUGAUGUUCUAACGUGGACCCGUUACCCGGGUUGCGGACAGUGUCUGGUGGGUAGUUUGACUGGGGCGGUCUCCUCCUAAAGAGUAACGGAGGAGCACGAAGGUUGGCUAAUCCUGGUCGGACAUCAGGAGGUUAGUGCAAUGGCAUAAGCCAGCUUGACUGCGAGCGUGACGGCGCGAGCAGGUGCGAAAGCAGGUCAUAGUGAUCCGGUGGUUCUGAAUGGAAGGGCCAUCGCUCAACGGAUAAAAGGUACUCCGGGGAUAACAGGCUGAUACCGCCCAAGAGUUCAUAUCGACGGCGGUGUUUGGCACCUCGAUGUCGGCUCAUCACAUCCUGGGGCUGAAGUAGGUCCCAAGGGUAUGGCUGUUCGCCAUUUAAAGUGGUACGCGAGCUGGGUUUAGAACGUCGUGAGACAGUUCGGUCCCUAUCUGCCGUGGGCGCUGGAGAACUGAGGGGGGCUGCUCCUAGUACGAGAGGACCGGAGUGGACGCAUCACUGGUGUUCGGGUUGUCAUGCCAAUGGCACUGCCCGGUAGCUAAAUGCGGAAGAGAUAAGUGCUGAAAGCAUCUAAGCACGAAACUUGCCCCGAGAUGAGUUCUCCCUGAGACUUAGAGUCUCCUGAAGGAACGUUGAAGACGACGACGUUGAUAGGCCGGGUGUGUAAGCGCAGCGAUGCGUUGAGCUAACCGGUACUAAUGAACCGUGAGGCUUAACCUUACAACGCCGAAG